AGAAGGCGCUAGGAGCAAAGGAAAGUGGUUUUUCUAACAAACUCAUGUAAUCAAUUGCCCGACGUACUCCAAUUUGAUUUUUUUCACAUAGUUAGACAUAAUAUAUUACUAUGAAAUGUUUCUGACCCAAAAUAUUACGAAAUAUGAUUGUUUACAUUAAAAUGCAAAAGUUGAUGAAAAAGUAUGAUAAGUUGAAAAAAGUGACAUUUUAUGUCUAGAAAGUCAGUUUUCAUCAAAAGUACAAUAACAAAACUUAGUUUCGCAUUCAUCCUGUGUCCCUUACACACUUGUGCUCUUUAUCCGCUCAAAACGCUAUAGAGCGAACGAGAAGGCGCUAGGAGCAAAGGAAAGUGGUUUUUCUAACAAACUCAUAUAAUCAGUUGCCCGACCUACUCCAAUUUGAUUUUUUUCACAUAGUUAGACAUAAUAUAGUACUAUGAAAUGUUUCUGACCCAAAAUAUUACGAAAUAUGAUUGUUUACAUUAAAAUGCAAAAGUUGAUGAAAAAGUAUGAUAAGGUUAAAAAAGUGACAUUUUAUGUCUAGAAAGUCAGUUUUCAUCAAAAGUACAAUAACAAAAGUAGUUCGCAUUCAUCCUGUGUCUCCUUACACACUUGUGCUCUUUAUCCGCUCAAAACGCUAUAGAGCGAACGAGAAGGCGCUAGGAGCAAAGGAAAGUGGUUUUUCUAACAAACUCAUAUAAUCAGUUGCCCGACCUACUCCAAUUUGAUUUUUUUCACAUAGUUAGACAUAAUAUAGUACUAUGAAAUGUUUCUGACCCAAAAUAUUACGAAAUAUGAUUGUUUACAUUAAAAUGCAAAAGUUGAUGAAAAAGUAUGAUAAGGUCAAAAAAGUGACAUUUGAGGUCUAGAAAGUCAGUUUUCAUCAAAAGUACCAUAACAAAACUUGUUCC
Molecule: long non-coding RNA, 911 nt
Organism: Ictalurus punctatus (channel catfish)
Lineage: Eukaryota; Metazoa; Chordata; Actinopteri; Siluriformes; Ictaluridae
Source: Ensembl